Molecule: long non-coding RNA, 2658 nt
Organism: Cydia pomonella (codling moth)
Lineage: Eukaryota; Metazoa; Arthropoda; Insecta; Lepidoptera; Tortricidae
Exons: 2
Source: RefSeq, a predicted model, not a curated record
ACGCGGCGCGUAAUCGUGAACCUUGUCGGUACGCAUGAAGGUUGAUAUUGGGCUGUAGCCGCGCACGUCAUAUGACGUCUUUGGCAAUCAAAAGGUUAAAAGUAUAGGUAAGAAAUAACAAGCGAUCUUAUAGCUAAAGAGUGAUCUCUUCUAAAUAACUUUUACAGUACAUAUGGUGCUACUUUACCGCACUUGUGCGAAAAUUAGCAUAUUACAUUACUGUGUCGAACAUUUAAAGGGCCAUAUGUACUGUAAAACAUUGUACGAUACAUGUGCGAAUAGGUAAUUCGCAACUCGUGUCGAUUUAAAACACUCCCUUCGGUCGUGUUUUAAUUUAUCGCUACUCGUUCCGAAUUUCCUAUUUUUCGCACUUGUAUCGUAUGUACUUAUUGUAUACUUGAGAAUACGAAAUAGAGAUGUGCAAUAAAAAAAUGGUAACUUAAUAGUUACUAGUUUCACAUUAAAUUACUUCUGUUCCGAUUUUUUUUUUUCAGUUUCAAAGUCUGUUUUAGUGCUAACAAAUGUUCAUAAUUUUAAUUGUUAGAGGCGAUACAAUCCUCAGUGCGAGCGUCAGACUUUUCUGACCUUCGUGUUGCUUAAAUACCAUGAGUCCUAUAUAGACAUUUGAUGUUCAGGAAAAUCAAGAUCGAUUGACAUUAGUUACAAAAACUGUCAAGUAGCCAAUUAUUUUCAAAAGUAUUCAUUUAAUCAAAAAACAUGUUGAUUUUAUUAUUUAAUGUAUGGAAUGCCCUUUUGCCCCGACAAGCUUGAACAUAUAAAUUGUGUAUAAUGAGGUUAUACUCGUAAGUUGAUGAUUAAAAUUUUAAAGGAAAAUUUUAUUUUCUUCUUUUUAGAGCAGUUAAAUAAAAGCUUUUGUAAAAAAUAGUACAUUACGAUACAAGUGCGAAAAAUAGGAAAUUCGAAACGAGUGGUGAUAAAUUAAAACACGACCGAAGGGAGUGUUUUAAAUCGACACGAGUUGCGAAUUAUCUAUUCGCACAUGUAUCGUACAACGUUUUACAGUACAUAUGGACCUUUAAAUGUUUGACACAGUAACGUAAUAUGCUAAUUUGCGCACUAGUGCGGUAAAGUAGCACCAUAUGUACUGUAAAAAAAUUUUUACUCGUAUUUAUCUAUAUGGUAAAUAUACUCACUGCUUUCAGAGGGCGGCGGGCGUGGCACUCUGAAACCGGACGGGCCCGGCGGCGCUGGUGUGUCGUCUGACAAAUAAAUACGACAGAUUAUUAUACACAGUAACAAUUUUAAAAUGACUACUAUCGAACGAAAAAGGAACAUGCGUCAAAAUUAACCCAAAACCAUGAAACAUGGGAGUUGGGCUAUUAAAUAAGUAUUUAAAUCUACUUCAUUUCAUUCUACGGGCGCCAAGCGGAAUUCCAUUGAAGAACUGACCUGUACCCCUAGUGUAAAUAUACUCACUGCUUUCAGAGGGCGGCGGGCGUGGCACUCUAAAACCGGACGGGCCCGGCGGCGCUGGUGUGUCGUCUGACAAAUAAAUACGACAGAUUAUUAUACACAGUAACAAUUUUAAAAUGACUACUAUCGAACGAAAAAGGGACAUGCGUCAAAAUUAACCCAAAACCAUGAAACAUGGGAGUUGGGCUAUUAAAUAAGUAUUUAAAUCUACUUCAUUUCAUUCUACGGGCGCCAAGCGGAAUUCCAUUGAAGAACUGACCUGUACCCCUAGUGUAAAUAUACUCACUGCUUUCAGAGGGCGGCGAGCGUGGCACUCUAAAACCGGACGGGCCCGGCGGCGCUGGUGUGUCGUCUGACAAAUAAAUACGACAGAUUAUUAUACACAGUAACAAUUUUAAAAUGACUACUAUCGAACGAAAAAGGGACAUGCGUCAAAAUUAACCCAAAACCAUGAAACAUGGGAGUUGGGCUAUUAAAUAAGUAUUUAAAUCUACUUCAUUUCAUUCUACGGGCGCCAAGCGGAAUUCCAUUGAAGAACUGACCUGUACCCCUAGUGUAAAUUUGAUCGACAUCAUAACGUGACGAACGCGUUUGCGUUAAGUCUCAUUUUGUAUAGGAUUUUGAGUUUCCAAAACGUCCCGCUUGGCGCGCUCUUUCUAAAUCCAAUACAAAAUGAGACUAAACGCAAACGCGUACGUCACGUUUCGAAAUCGAAUUUAUUUACACUAGGGGUAAAGGAAAGGUACCAAACUGUCUGGUUCCGAUUUGAUUUAUAUUUAUAUAUGUUAUAGAGUAGUCUAAAAUAACGGACACGUAUUUUUUUUUGGUGCCCAAACUCACGUAAUAGACUUUGAACACGAUCCGGAAACACAUUUAUAAAAGAGUGUUCUUCUAGUGAUUUUUAAACUAUUAAUUAUUAUUUUAUUCAUUUGUAUGGCCUGGGUCUGAGGAGGGCAAGGCAAAUUAAUGUCACAAGAAAUGAAAUCAAUACUAAACAAAUUAUUACCUUUGUUUGUUUUCGGACCCGGUUUCCUGACUGCUGGUUUAGCUGGCUUUUUACUUGGAAUAGUUCAAUUAUUAUUAAAUUAUUAUUAAGUCCCCAUGAGAUAUUUUUUUUAUUUAUUUUAUUAUAGGACAUUAUUACACAAAUUGACUAAGUCCCACAGUAAGCUCAAUAAGGCUUGUGUUGAGGGUACUUUGACAACGAUAUAUAUAAUAUAUAAA